AGAGAGGAAACUCCAACUCAUUUUAUGUGUCUGAUAUUAUCUUCAUACCAAUACAUGGCAAAUCAAUAUAAGAAAGGAAAGUUACAAAUCUCACCUGUGAGCAUAAAUGCAAUAAUUCUAAGUAAAACAUUAGCAAACUAAACCCAAACACAUAAAAACUGAAAAAGAACACCCAGAAGCGAAUUCUUCAGGCACAGAAAAAUAAUCCCAUGCAGAAAUACAGGAGUUCAGGAAGGAAACGAGAGCACCAGAAACCGAAGGUGUGUGAGUAAAUCCAAACGAGUACUCACCGUAUACAACCCAAAACAAUGUCGUGUGAGGACUCUGGCUGCAGGCGCCCUCAGAACUCACCAGGAGCUACCAAGGGGAAGGUCUGCUCUGCUGGGAGGAGGGAGAAGACACCGUGUCGUAUUUAACCGCGUUUUCCCAGCGUAGUAGUUAGAGUGAGUGCUGCUAGCUGCUGUAACGACUCCUGGAAUGACAGAACUCGUUUCCAACGCCAUGGUAACAUUCAAGACCUGGUGCUCCCUGGGUCAGCUAAGUCCCUGAGUGACCACACAAAAGAGACAAAAGGACCUUUCCCUUUGUCCCGAGAUCUCUCUGGAGUGAUCACAGAGCCAGUCACAGACUCCUGAGGGUUUGGUGCAGCCCUGAGGAGGAGCUAAGACCCGGACCUCGCAUCCCCUCAGACCCACAGCUUCUGCAAAGCCCCUACGUCCACUCCCAGGGGGACACUUCCCCUUGGUCCUCUCACCUCUUCAUGGAGUUGGCCAAAUGGACUGAAACUAACAAAAGACCUGCCUUUCAGCUUGUUUGGGGAGGUUUAAACACUGGGUUUCUCAGUAAGAAUUUUCCUCCUUUUAGUGAUAAAAACUCUCUACAUUUCUAA
Long non-coding RNA from Suricata suricatta (meerkat), 889 nucleotides. RefSeq lists it as uncharacterized. NCBI's taxonomy places the organism in Eukaryota, Metazoa, Chordata, Mammalia, Carnivora, Herpestidae. The transcript is spliced from 2 exons. The record is from RefSeq and is a predicted model, not a curated record.